AUGUGUUUCGAUGCUGAGCUCUUUCUGGAUAGGACAGAGGUACAAUACUUACAUCCAUGGCAGAAGGUUCUUAACCCUGAACUCAUCAAAGGUCCUUGGACUCAAGAGGAAGAUGACAAAAUUAUUGAUCUUGUAAGAAAGUAUGGACCAACAAAAUGGUCUCAUUUCAAGGACCUGCAAAAGGACCCUCCCACCUCAGUGCUGGUGAUUUCCCCUCUGCCCCGUUUGAUUCCGUCUAGAUCUUGCCCCGAAUUGUAUUGCGUCUGGAUGAGCGCGCCGUUGGCGUGGCCUGGUUGUCGAUUAUUUAGCUGUGCUCUCGCAGUGCUUUUAGGUUUGCUGGAUUGA
Molecule: ribosomal RNA, 345 nt
Filed under: Triticum aestivum (bread wheat)
Lineage: Eukaryota; Viridiplantae; Streptophyta; Magnoliopsida; Poales; Poaceae
Description: partial small subunit ribosomal RNA
Source: RNAcentral